Molecule: long non-coding RNA, 311 nt
Organism: Coregonus clupeaformis (lake whitefish)
Lineage: Eukaryota; Metazoa; Chordata; Actinopteri; Salmoniformes; Salmonidae
Exons: 3
Source: RefSeq, a predicted model, not a curated record
CCGGCCGCUCAAUCACGUACACCUGUCCAAGCGGAGGUAGCAAGGCUCUUUGCGCCAUAUAACAUUGGAGCCAGAAGGAAUAUGACGAGACGACCAGCACAAGUCCAAGUUAGCCGAAGAAGCUACACACACACUGUCUGUUGUUUGGCUGACCACAAUGCGGAUAAAAUUCCAAGCGUACUGUUUAAAGCUGAACUUCUUACUUCAGGACUUGGAGAGCAAAAAGUAACAUUUUCAGGGAAUGACCACGAUCCCAUGGUUAUAACAAAUAAACUGAUGGAAGUGUUUCCGAAGCUCCAACAAGGGGGGAG